CGAACGCGAAAGAAGCCUUCGGGUUUCAAGUAGAGUGGCGCACGGGUGAGUAACACGUAGGUAAUCUACCUUCGGGUGGGGAAUAACCCAGGGAAACUUGGGCUAACACCGCAUAAUGCAGCGGCACCACAUGGUGACAGUUGUUAAAGCGGGGGAUUUUCGGACCUCGCGCCUGAAGGGGAGCCUGCGGCAGAUUAGCUAGUUGGUAGGGUAACGGCUUACCAAGGCGACGAUCUGUAGCCGGCCUGAGAGGGCGGCCGGCCACACUGACACUGACAUACGGGUCAGACUCCUACGGGAGGCAGCAGUCGGGAAUUUUGGGCAAUGGGCGAAAGCCUGACCCAGCAACGCCGCGUGAAGGAUGAAAUCCCUCGGGAUGUAAACUUCGCAAGAAUAGGAAGAAUUAGCGAACGCUAACAUCGUUCGUGAUGACGGUACUAUUUGUAAGCUCCGGCUAACUCCGUGCCAGCAGCCGCGGUAAUACGGGGGGAGCAAGCGUUGUUCGGAUUUACUGGGCGUAAAGGGCGCGUAGGCGGUCAGCACAAGUCAGUUGUGAAAUCUCCGGGCUUAACUCGGAAAGGUCAACUGAUACUGUGCGACUAGAGUGCAGAAGGGGCAACUGGAAUUCUCGGUGUAGCGGUGAAAUGCGUAGAUAUCGAGAGGAACACCU
RNAcentral lists this ribosomal RNA (670 nucleotides) under uncultured bacterium. RNAcentral's name for it is "bacterial SSU rRNA". It matches the Rfam family "Bacterial small subunit ribosomal RNA", at positions 63 to 711 of the family's 1533-position model. The record is from RNAcentral.